UACGUAGGGUGCGAGCGUUAAUCGGAAUUACUGGGCGUAAAGCGUGCGCAGGCGGUUUUGUAAGUCAGAUGUGAAAUCCCCCGGGCUCAACCUGGGAACUGCGUUUGAAACUACAAGGCUAGAGUGUGGCAGAGGGGGGUGGAAUUCCACGUGUAGCAGUGAAAUGCGUAGAGAUGUGGAGGAACACCGAUGGCGAAGGCAGCCCCCUGGGUUAACACUGACGCUCAGGCACGAAAGCGUGGGGAGCAAACAGG
Molecule: ribosomal RNA, 254 nt
Filed under: uncultured bacterium
Lineage: Bacteria
Description: partial 16S ribosomal RNA
Rfam family: Bacterial small subunit ribosomal RNA
Source: RNAcentral